RNAcentral lists this ribosomal RNA (1907 nucleotides) under Escherichia coli. RNAcentral's name for it is "partial 23S ribosomal RNA". It matches the Rfam family "Bacterial large subunit ribosomal RNA", at positions 333 to 2228 of the family's 2925-position model. The record is from RNAcentral. Lineage: Bacteria; Pseudomonadati; Pseudomonadota; Gammaproteobacteria; Enterobacterales; Enterobacteriaceae.
UGGAAGCGUCUGGAAAGGCGCGCGAUACAGGGUGACAGCCCCGUACACAAAAAUGCACAUGCUGUGAGCUCGAUGAGUAGGGCGGGACACGUGGUAUCCUGUCUGAAUAUGGGGGGACCAUCCUCCAAGGCUAAAUACUCCUGACUGACCGAUAGUGAACCAGUACCGUGAGGGAAAGGCGAAAAGAACCCCGGCGAGGGGAGUGAAAAAGAACCUGAAACCGUGUACGUACAAGCAGUGGGAGCACGCUUAGGCGUGUGACUGCGUACCUUUUGUAUAAUGGGUCAGCGACUUAUAUUCUGUAGCAAGGUUAACCGAAUAGGGGAGCCGAAGGGAAACCGAGUCUUAACUGGGCGUUAAGUUGCAGGGUAUAGACCCGAAACCCGGUGAUCUAGCCAUGGGCAGGUUGAAGGUUGGGUAACACUAACUGGAGGACCGAACCGACUAAUGUUGAAAAAUUAGCGGAUGACUUGUGGCUGGGGGUGAAAGGCCAAUCAAACCGGGAGAUAGCUGGUUCUCCCCGAAAGCUAUUUAGGUAGCGCCUCGUGAAUUCAUCUCCGGGGGUAGAGCACUGUUUCGGCAAGGGGGUCAUCCCGACUUACCAACCCGAUGCAAACUGCGAAUACCGGAGAAUGUUAUCACGGGAGACACACGGCGGGUGCUAACGUCCGUCGUGAAGAGGGAAACAACCCAGACCGCCAGCUAAGGUCCCAAAGUCAUGGUUAAGUGGGAAACGAUGUGGGAAGGCCCAGACAGCCAGGAUGUUGGCUUAGAAGCAGCCAUCAUUUAAAGAAAGCGUAAUAGCUCACUGGUCGAGUCGGCCUGCGCGGAAGAUGUAACGGGGCUAAACCAUGCACCGAAGCUGCGGCAGCGACGCUUAUGCGUUGUUGGGUAGGGGAGCGUUCUGUAAGCCUGCGAAGGUGUGCUGUGAGGCAUGCUGGAGGUAUCAGAAGUGCGAAUGCUGACAUAAGUAACGAUAAAGCGGGUGAAAAGCCCGCUCGCCGGAAGACCAAGGGUUCCUGUCCAACGUUAAUCGGGGCAGGGUGAGUCGACCCCUAAGGCGAGGCCGAAAGGCGUAGUCGAUGGGAAACAGGUUAAUAUUCCUGUACUUGGUGUUACUGCGAAGGGGGGACGGAGAAGGCUAUGUUGGCCGGGCGACGGUUGUCCCGGUUUAAGCGUGUAGGCUGGUUUUCCAGGCAAAUCCGGAAAAUCAAGGCUGAGGCGUGAUGACGAGGCACUACGGUGCUGAAGCAACAAAUGCCCUGCUUCCAGGAAAAGCCUCUAAGCAUCAGGUAACAUCAAAUCGUACCCCAAACCGACACAGGUGGUCAGGUAGAGAAUACCAAGGCGCUUGAGAGAACUCGGGUGAAGGAACUAGGCAAAAUGGUGCCGUAACUUCGGGAGAAGGCACGCUGAUAUGUAGGUGAAGUCCCUCGCGGAUGGAGCUGAAAUCAGUCGAAGAUACCAGCUGGCUGCAACUGUUUAUUAAAAACACAGCACUGUGCAAACACGAAAGUGGACGUAUACGGUGUGACGCCUGCCCGGUGCCGGAAGGUUAAUUGAUGGGGUUAGCGCAAGCGAAGCUCUUGAUCGAAGCCCCGGUAAACGGCGGCCGUAACUAUAACGGUCCUAAGGUAGCGAAAUUCCUUGUCGGGUAAGUUCCGACCUGCACGAAUGGCGUAAUGAUGGCCAGGCUGUCUCCACCCGAGACUCAGUGAAAUUGAACUCGCUGUGAAGAUGCAGUGUACCCGCGGCAAGACGGAAAGACCCCGUGAACCUUUACUAUAGCUUGACACUGAACAUUGAGCCUUGAUGUGUAGGAUAGGUGGGAGGCUUGGAAGUGUGGACGCCAGUCUGCAUGGAGCCGACCUUGAAAUACCACCCUUUAAUGUUUGAUGUUCUAACGU